GCUAAUUUGGCAGAUAAGUGCAGUGGAUUUAGAAUCUAUUUAUGUGAUUUCAUUUACACAUUUAGUA
Molecule: transfer RNA, 67 nt
Filed under: Glyptotermes satsumensis
Lineage: Eukaryota; Metazoa; Arthropoda; Insecta; Blattodea; Kalotermitidae
Description: tRNA-Leu
Source: RNAcentral